Molecule: RNA transcript, 1406 nt
Organism: Arabidopsis lyrata subsp. lyrata
Lineage: Eukaryota; Viridiplantae; Streptophyta; Magnoliopsida; Brassicales; Brassicaceae
Gene name: palmitoyl-protein thioesterase 1
Exons: 7
Source: RefSeq, a predicted model, not a curated record
GUACUAAAAGAGGCAACGCGGAGAUGUCAUUAGAGGAAGAACUAGGAAGCAGAGCGUUAAUGCAAAUGCUACCAAAAACGUUAAUGCAAGAUCUCAACUAAUCAGCACCGUCCAUUUCAUACUAAAAAUGUAAAAACCAAUCAGCAUCGUCCAUUUUGUCAUCUAAUUAUUUGUUAAUUCUUACUUGGCCACAACUUCCAACCACAUGACGCUCUUUCUCUUCCCUUUAUAUAUUCGCAUCUCAAAAGUUCUUGGAGACACAAAAUAUCAUAAACAUAAACAUAAACGCCAAUCGCAGCUUUUGUACGUUUGGCGUUUUACAAUGGAGAAGGGUUUGAAGCGGUCUUGUGUUAUGGUGGUGGUCGCAUUCUUAGCCAUGGUUCAUGUCUCUGUUUCAGUUCCGUUCCUAAUACUUCCUGAAAUCGGAACUCAAUGUUCUGAUGAUACAGUUGGUAACUUCACACAGCUUCUCACUAACCUCUCAGGCUCUCCUGGCUUUUGCUUAGUAAUUGGCGAUGGAAAUGAAAUAGCCGGUUCAUGGUUAAUACCACUUACACAACAAGCGGAGAUAGCGUGUGAGAAGGUGAAGCAAAUGGAAGAGUUGAGUCAUGGAUACAACAUUGUUGGAAGAGCUCAGGGGAACCUAGUGGCUCGAGGCUUAAUCGAGUUCUGCGACGGUGGCCCUCCGGUUUACAACUAUAUAUCCUUGGCUGGUCCUCAUGCUGGCAUCGCCGUUCUUCCUCGGUGUACUACAUCUGAUUUACUUUGUGGCAUAGCAAAUGGGAUAGGCAAUGGAGAUGUCUAUAGCGACUUUGUUCAAGAUAGUCUUGCUCCUAGUGGUUAUUUCAAAGACCCUAAAAAUGUGACAGAGUACCUGAAAGGUUGUAAGUAUCUACCUAAGCUUAACAAUGAGAGACCAGACCAAAGAAACCAAACUUACAAAGACCGUUUCACCAGUUUACACAACGUGGUUCUUGUCCUGUUUCAGAACGAUACGGUUAUUGUCCCAAAAGAGUCAUCUUGGUUCGGGUUUUAUCCGGAUGGUGACUUAACACAUGUUCUCUCUGUGGACAAGACAAAGCUCUAUAUAGAGGAUUGGAUAGGUCUGAAAGCAUUGGUUGUUGCUGGAAAAGUGCAGUUUGUGAAUGUACCCGGUAACCACUUAAUAAUAGCUGAUGAGGAUCUCGUCAAAUACGUCGUACCUCUUCUCCAGGACCAGCAGUCUGCCGCACCAAGACUCAACCGCAAGACCAAGGAGCCCUUGCAUCUUUAAAAAGAGCAAAUACCUCAAUCGCUAUACUAAUUUAUGCAGUAUCGAAUAAGCUGAUGAUUGUGUGACACAAGAAUCCUUCUUCUAUUAUGAAUAACAAACAUACCUAUCUUGAAUUAUGGAAUUAAUACGUAGA